Amphiprion ocellaris (clown anemonefish) is the source of this 1332-nucleotide long non-coding RNA. The record is from Ensembl. NCBI's taxonomy places the organism in Eukaryota, Metazoa, Chordata, Actinopteri, Pomacentridae.
AGAUGCUGGGAGUUUUGACUUUUUUUCUGUUAGUCAAACAGCGCAGAUGCGCGAUCACGACCAGAUUAACCUGUCAGUGUCUUGCUGCCGCACCUUGUUGUCAGUUGCCGUAAAUUGUGCCAGUGGCGACCGGUCGCGACACACCGUAAAGCAGACACAAACACUAAACUAUGGAUUUUGGCGGAGAUAAUGGAAAGUACAGCAAAGAAGAGGAGAUGCAGCUUCAACAAAGACUGGGAAACUACAUAUCACUGGGUGAAGCCGGUGCAAGGUGAUUCUCAGAGAGUUUUCUGUCAAGUUUGCCAGAGUUCGUUUUCCGUUUCAUACGGUGGGAAUACGACGUGAAGCGACACAGUACAUGCAAGACCCCCUCUCAGCUUUGUCUUCUCCAGAACAUCCCAAAGGUUCUCAGUGGUUCUGAGGUCUGGACUCUGUGGAGGACAAUCCAUCUCAUGCUCCCUGAUCCACUCAUUCUCAAUGUGAGCCCAUGAAUCCUGGCAUCAUCAUCUAGGAACAUGAAGAAAACCUCCACUGAUGGAAAGACCUGGUCAUUCAGUAUCUUCAGGUAUCAGCUGACCUCAUUCUUUGGGAACAUAAUGUUGGUGAACCUGACCAACCCCAGAUCAUAACCCUAACCCCUACUAGCCAUGAUGAGGGCAUCACUUCAUCUGCCUCUCUUCUUACCCUGAUGCCCCCAUCACUCUGGAACAGGGUAAAUCUGGACUCAUCAGACCACAUUAGUUCCUGGAAGAUGAUGGUUCUCCACCAUUCUUCAGGUUUUAAUAAUGCGUUGCAUGGUUCUUAACCUGAUUUUAGUCGUUUCAUCUCCUUAGUUAUUUUCUUUGCUUGAUGUAGGCCAGUAAUGUGACCCUUCUGAGACAGAUUAACAUCCUUUCCAUGACCCACAGGAUAUGUCUUUAACAUGGUUGUUUCAGAAAUGAGAAGCUCCUCACUGUACCAGCUAGGGUUAAAUAGGGUGUUUCAUCACUGCAGUAAUUAUCCAAUGGGGGGAUCUGACCUAUUUGCUUCGUUAAAUGCAGGUGGAGACUUUUAUUUUUUGAACAGGCAGUGUGUUAUCAGUGAAAAAGAGCUUGGGGUAGUACUACAAAUAUCACAAUUUCUUUAAAAGUAUAAAAGGUAACUUCAAAAUUUAAAUGGAAUGAUAUCAAAAACAUGUUCUUUGAUGAAUAGCUGGAGAAUGAAAUGAUAAAAACUUUUCAUUACAAAUAUAUUUCAAGAAAACGACCUCACCGUGUCAUUUUUGACCCACAUAUGCAUCUAGGGGUUAAAUAAAUGAGAGCUUACUUAAUGAGAGGAUGGGAGUAAACGCCA